UACGUAGGGGGCAAGCGUUGUCCGGAUUUAUUGGGCGUAAAGAGCGUGUAGGCGGCUUGGAAGGUCAGCUGUGAAAACUCGAGGCUCAACCUCGAGACGUCGGUUGAAACCACCUGGCUAGAGUCCGGAAGAGGAGAGUGGAAUUCCCGGUGUAGCGGUGAAAUGCGCAGAUAUCGGGAAGAACACCCGUGGCGAAGGCGGCUCUCUGGGACGGUACUGACGCUGAGACGCGAAAAGCGUGGGGGAGCGAACAGG
Molecule: ribosomal RNA, 255 nt
Filed under: uncultured bacterium
Lineage: Bacteria
Description: partial 16S ribosomal RNA
Rfam family: Bacterial small subunit ribosomal RNA
Source: RNAcentral